This 553-nucleotide ribosomal RNA is filed under the name uncultured archaeon. RNAcentral's name for it is "bacterial SSU rRNA". It matches the Rfam family "Archaeal small subunit ribosomal RNA", at positions 325 to 879 of the family's 1478-position model. The record is from RNAcentral.
ACGGGGUGCAGCAGGCGCGAAAACUUCGCACUGUGCGAAAGCACGACGAGGGAAUCCCAAGUGCUGGCUCGUAAGAGUCAGCUGUUUCUCUGUCUAAAAAACAGAGAGAGUAAGGGCUGGGUAAGACGGGUGCCAGCCGCCGCGGUAAUACCUGCAGCUCAAGUGGUGGCCGCUAUUAUUGGGCCUAAAACGUCCGUAGCCGGUUCUAUAAAUGCCUGGGUAAAUCGUACGGCUUAACCGUACGAAUUCCGGGUAGACUGUUCAACUUGGGACCGGGAGAGGCUAGAGGUACUCCUGGGGUAGAGGUGAAAUUCUGUAAUCCUAGGGGGACCCCCAGUGGCGAAGGCUGCUUACUAGAACACGUCUGACGGUCAGGGACGAAAGCUGGGGUAGCGAACCGGAUUAGAUACCCGGGUAGUCCCAGCUGUAAACGAUGCAUGCUAGGUGUUGGGUUGGCCACGAGCCACCCCAGUGCCGCAGGGAAGCCGUGAAGCGAGCCACCUGGGAAGUACGGCCGCAAGGCUGAAACUUAAAGGAAUUGGCGGGGGAGCAC